Molecule: ribosomal RNA, 453 nt
Filed under: uncultured Desulfovibrio sp.
Lineage: Bacteria; Pseudomonadati; Thermodesulfobacteriota; Desulfovibrionia; Desulfovibrionales; Desulfovibrionaceae
Description: bacterial SSU rRNA
Rfam family: Bacterial small subunit ribosomal RNA
Source: RNAcentral
UGGAGUAUGUGGUUUAAUUCGACGCAACGCGCAGAACCUUACCUAGACUUGACAUCCCGGGGAUUUUCUGGAAACAGAGAAGUGCUUUAGCAAUAAAGAACCCGGUGACAGGUGCUGCAUGGCUGUCGUCAGCUCGUGUCGUGAGAUGUUGGGUUAAGUCCCGCAACGAGCGCAACCCUCGCCUUUAGUUGCCAGCAUUCAGUUGGGCACUCUAGAGGGACUGCCGGUGUCAAACCGGAGGAAGGUGGGAUGACGUCAAGUCCUCAUGGCCUUUAUGUCUAGGGCUACACACGUACUACAAUGGCCGGUACAAAGGGCAGCCACUCAGCGAUGAGGCGCUAAUCCCAUAAAGCCGGUCUCAGUCCGGAUCGCAGUCUGCAACUCGACUGCGUGAAGUUGGAAUCGCUAGUAAUCGUAGAUCAGCAUGCUACGGUGAAUACGUUCCCGGGCCUU